RNAcentral lists this ribosomal RNA (492 nucleotides) under uncultured bacterium. RNAcentral's name for it is "partial 16S ribosomal RNA". It matches the Rfam family "Bacterial small subunit ribosomal RNA", at positions 29 to 507 of the family's 1533-position model. The record is from RNAcentral.
AGUGAACGCUGGCGGUAGGCCUAACACAUGCAAGUCGAACGGCAGCACAGUAAGAGCUUGCUCUUACGGGUGGCGAGUGGCGGACGGGUGAGGAAUACAUCGGAAUCUACUUUUUCGUGGGGGAUAACGUAGGGAAACUUACGCUAAUACCGCAUACGACCUACGGGUGAAAGCAGGGGAUCUUCGGACCUUGCGCGAUUGAAUGAGCCGAUGUCGGAUUAGCUAGUUGGCGGGGUAAAGGCCUACCAAGGCGACGAUCCGUAGCUGGUCUGAGAGGAUGAUCAGCCACACUGGAACUGAGACACGGUCCAGACUCCUACGGGAGGCAGCAGUGGGGAAUAUUGGACAAUGGGCGCAAGCCUGAUCCAGCCAUACCGCGUGGGUGAGGAAGGCCUUCGGGUUGUAAAGCCCUUUUGUUGGGAAAGAAAAGCAGCAGGUUAAUACCCCGCUGUUCUGACGGUACCCAAAGAAUAAGCACCGGCUAACUUCGUG